GUGAGGAAUAUUCCGCAAUGGACGAAAGUCUGACGGAGCAACGCCGCGUGAGUGAUGAAGGUUUUCGGACUGUAAAGCUCUGUUGUUUAGGACGAAAGUGCCUGUUGCAAAUAGUUACAGGUAUUGACGGUACUGAACGAGGAAGCCACGGCUAACUACGUGCCAGCAGCCGCGGUAAUACGUAGGUGGCAAGCGUUGUCCGGAAUUAUUGGGCGUAAAGAGCAUGUAGGCGGGAAUCUAAGUCUGUUGUGAAAAUGCGGGGCUCAACCCCGUAUUGCGAUGGAAACUGGGUUUCUUGAGUGCAGGAGAGGAAAGGGGAAUUCCCAGUGUAGCGGUGAAAUGUGUAGAUAUUGGGAGGAACACCAGUGGCGAAGGCGCCUUUCUGGACUGUGUCUGACGCUGAGAUGCGAAAGCCAGGGUAGCGAACGGGAUUAGAAACCCUUGUAGUCC
RNAcentral lists this ribosomal RNA (450 nucleotides) under uncultured bacterium. Its description in RNAcentral is "partial 16S ribosomal RNA". It matches the Rfam family "Bacterial small subunit ribosomal RNA", at positions 354 to 796 of the family's 1533-position model. The record is from RNAcentral.